GCGGCCGUAACUAUAACGGUCCUAAGGUAGCGAAAUUCCUUGUCGGUUAAAUACCGACCUGCAUGAAUGGCGUAACGAGAUGGGAGCUGUCUCAACCAGAGAUUCAGUGAAAUUGUAGUGGAGGUGAAAAUUCCUCCUACCCGCGGCAAGACGGAAAGACCCCGUGGACCUUUACUACAACUUAGCACUGCUAAUGGGAAUAUCAUGCGCAGGAUAGGUGGGAGGCUUUGAAGUAAGGGCUU
RNAcentral lists this ribosomal RNA (242 nucleotides) under Helicobacter pylori. Its description in RNAcentral is "partial 23S ribosomal RNA". It matches the Rfam family "Bacterial large subunit ribosomal RNA", at positions 1930 to 2171 of the family's 2925-position model. Lineage: Bacteria; Pseudomonadati; Campylobacterota; Epsilonproteobacteria; Campylobacterales; Helicobacteraceae. The record is from RNAcentral.